UGACGGGUCGAAUAAUUCGUAAUGAAUAAUAAGCCGAAAAUGUUUGAAGUUUCAUAUGGUUUUGUUCGUAUGAAAUUGGUAAUUUUAGCUUAGUAGACCGAAUGGGACAAUAUAAAGUUGUAAUGAUAUGACGAAUAAUGUCUAUGUAAUGGCUACGGUAUGUAACCGGGUAAUGGGUAAAAUUGCACAUAAGUGCACCAACCGAGAAUGGGGACUUAGGUUAAUGGGUCAAAGUGAAGGUAUACUUUAGCACGGAACGUUUGUACAAGCAAUGUCGAUAGUAUUUCAUGUGCCCGGUUAGUGUAAGGUGUUAUAACAUUAACAUUAUGUGAGCCUUAAGUGUAAACAUAUGAGUUGUUGAUAAAUGCAUGACGGGUCGAAUAAUUCGUAAUGAAUAAUAAGCCGAAAAUGUAUAAGUUAAGAAUUUCCUUAACCCGGAUGUUGGAUUUUAAGUUCACAUAAUAGAAUGUUAGUUUACAAUCAUGCAGGAAGAAACGGGAGGUUAAUCGGGUAAACGGUUUAAAAGCUAUGCAAGUUUUUGUGCGUGCGAACGACAAAACAACACAGCAGAAAAAUGGCAAAACUAGAGGCCGUCGCCGACGC
This 603-nucleotide long non-coding RNA is filed under the name Helianthus annuus (common sunflower). The record is from RNAcentral. Lineage: Eukaryota; Viridiplantae; Streptophyta; Magnoliopsida; Asterales; Asteraceae.